This 472-nucleotide ribosomal RNA is filed under the name marine sediment bacterium ISA-7240. RNAcentral's name for it is "bacterial SSU rRNA". It matches the Rfam family "Bacterial small subunit ribosomal RNA", at positions 49 to 507 of the family's 1533-position model. The record is from RNAcentral.
UAACACAUGCAAGUCGAACGGCAGCACAAGGGAGUUUACUCCUGAGGUGGCGCAGCGGCGGUACGGGUGAGUAAUGCCUAGGGCAUCUGCCCAGUCGAGGGGGAUAACAGUUGGAAACGACUGCUAAUACCGCAUACGCCCUACGGGGGAAAGGAGGGGACCUUUUGGCCUUCCGCGAUUGGAUGAACCUAGGUGGGAUUAGCUAGUUGGUGAGGUAAUGGCUCACCAAGGCGACGAUCCCUAGCUGUUCUGAGAGGAUGAUCAGCCACACUGGGACUGAGACACGGCCCAUACUCCUACGGGAGGCAGCAGUGGGGAAUAUUGCACAAUGGGGGAAACCCUGAUGCAGCCAUGCCGCGUGUGUGAAGAAGGCCUUCGGGUUGUAAAGCACUUUCAGUAGGGAGGAAAGGGUAAGUCUUAAUACGGCUUAUCUGUGACGUUACCUACAGAAGAAGGACCGGCUAACUCCGUG